This is a long non-coding RNA of Austrofundulus limnaeus, 1161 nucleotides long. RefSeq lists it as uncharacterized. The transcript is spliced from 3 exons. The record is from RefSeq and is a predicted model, not a curated record. Lineage: Eukaryota; Metazoa; Chordata; Actinopteri; Cyprinodontiformes; Rivulidae.
UAGUGGAUAAAUUCCUGAGCUGCAGAUUUAUAUUUCUUCCUGGAAUGGAAAGUUACAGCAGAYAACUGAGGGAGGAUUCAGCAGAUAAAUAAACUUAUUUGUUGUUUUUACAUCACGUUGGGCUGUUUUUUUACUAGAUUUUUUUUUUAACCUGAUGGAUGUUUUUUUUUACAGAAGCAGAAGAAGAUGACUCAGACAUGACUGGACCUCUCCUCCAUCUCUGGAGGAUCAGUCAUCGUGUUUUUAACUGAACUUCAGGGUUUAGUGAAGGAAAACAGCAGCGCUGACURAGAAAUGUGGAGAAAAGAUUAAAUUACAGAACUUUCUCAGCGAGUUCAGAGCACCGGAGUCCAGAGCAAGGACAGAACCAGAACCAGAACCAGAACCAGAGCACAGAAUGAGGUCCAGAUGUCUCCUCUCCGCCGUGGACAGACUCCCMACCAUCGAUGAGAUCCAGGAGGGGGUCUCAGAGGACCGACACCUGGACCACACCUGGGGGGAGUACUUGGACUCCAUCAGGGAACUCUCCCAGCCCUCCUGCUACCCGMUUCACGGGCCCCUCAGGGGUCACCGCCACUGGACCAGAAGCCCCUCCCCCCGGCAGUCCGUCAACCCAUCAGACAUCUCGUUCACGCUAACAGAGCGGUCCAGCUGGGACCCCCCAGGGCCCUUUAAACACAGCCUGCUGGACUUGCUGGUGUCCUYGACCCUGUUUGCAGGUCUGACAUGAACUGAGGGUUCUGAGGAACAGAAACUGUCCRGCGUGCCCCCCCAGAGCGGCCCCCAAACAAACCUCCAAACCUUCCACUGACCAAAAGAAAAACCUGAAACCUUCUUGWUUUGUGUUUGUUUUAAACGUGUUCAACAGGUUUUAUUGUCUGUUCCUUUUUUAACGACAGCGUUAAAUAUUUSUUUCUCCCGGAUGUUUCUGAGCAGCUGGAAAGAAUAAAUGUCUCAGCGGUCGGUGAGAAUGUCACACAAACACUUUGAAAGUUGAGAACKUUGAAUUCACAUACGCAGCAGAUUUUUCGGGCGGUUGAAUGAAAAGUUUGGACAUAUUUGGAGAGAUUAACAGAAAAAAUAAGCUUUCCUGGUUGGUAAAAGUCAAACCSUUWCCAAAAAAUAAAAAUAAAAAAGCCUUUUUGUUUAYGGUGAUCCUCA